GUGCCUUAAACUAAUGAGUAAGGAAAAUAACGAGCCGGAUUGACGCCCGGCUCUCCACACUCGCAAUGUGGUAGGAAUUUUUGAAGGGGUACAGGUCGUCCCAGGGGCGUCCCGCCUACUUUCGCGGGGUGCCCGGGUGUCUGCGAUCUGCCCG
Molecule: small nuclear RNA, 154 nt
Organism: Ixodes scapularis (black-legged tick)
Lineage: Eukaryota; Metazoa; Arthropoda; Arachnida; Ixodida; Ixodidae
Product: U12 minor spliceosomal RNA
Exons: 1
Source: RefSeq, a predicted model, not a curated record